CCAGUUGGGCAGGGAAUAUACCAUGAUCACGAAGGUGGUUUUCCCAGGGCGAGGCUUUACCCAUUGCACUCCGGAUGUGCUGACCCCUGCGAUUUCCCCAAAUGUGGGAAACUCGACUGUGUAAUUUGUGGCAGUGGGGGACCGCGUUCGUGCUUUCCCCUA
Molecule: small nuclear RNA, 162 nt
Organism: Puma concolor (puma)
Lineage: Eukaryota; Metazoa; Chordata; Mammalia; Carnivora; Felidae
Product: U1 spliceosomal RNA
Source: RefSeq, a predicted model, not a curated record